GCCCGUCCGCCUUCCGUCCCCAAGCGCGGCGGAUGCGCCGCGGAGCCUCCCCUGACACCCCCGAGUUUCGGCGGGAGGCUCCGAUGG
This 87-nucleotide small RNA is filed under the name Caulobacter vibrioides NA1000. RNAcentral describes it as "small non-coding RNA". Lineage: Bacteria; Pseudomonadati; Pseudomonadota; Alphaproteobacteria; Caulobacterales; Caulobacteraceae. The record is from RNAcentral.